Cinara cedri is the source of this 285-nucleotide non-coding RNA. The record is from the annotation of a GenBank genome assembly. NCBI's taxonomy places the organism in Eukaryota, Metazoa, Arthropoda, Insecta, Hemiptera, Aphididae.
UACAAAUUAAACUCUUUAGUUUGACUUGGAGUUUACUAAAAUUUAAACAGAUUACUGCUACAAACGGCAAGGGAAAUCAUGCAUUAUAUUUUCAUUAACUUUGAACAUUGAAUGAGGAAUGAAUAAGAGUAUAAUUUUAUUUAAAAAUAAAUAGUGCAAAAUUACUAUAUAAUAAUAAAGAUUACAUAGAUGCAUAUUAUUGUAUUUUAGCAUUAAUAAUAAAUAAGCUACAAUAAAUGUCGAUUAUUAAACUAAUGGUAUUUAUCUAUUUUGUAAAAAGUGAGA